RNAcentral lists this long non-coding RNA (1717 nucleotides) under Pongo abelii (Sumatran orangutan). Its description in RNAcentral is "lincRNA". The record is from RNAcentral. Lineage: Eukaryota; Metazoa; Chordata; Mammalia; Primates; Hominidae.
AAACGAACAUGAAAUUCAAAGGGAAACAGGAACAAUAAUCAUUACCAGCUGCCGUGUUAAGCAUUGUGAAAACGCUCACGAUUCACAGAAAAAUCCAUGCUGUUCUUUGAAGGCAUUCAAGCCUUAAUAGCUAGCUGGAUGAAUGUUUAACUUCUAGGCCAGGCACUACUCUGUCCCAACAAUAAGCCCUGUACAUUGGGAAAGGUGCCGAAGACAUGAACUUUGGUCUUCUCUGCAAUCCCUCUGGAGCAUUCAGUGACAACGUCGACUUUGAAGUUGCACUGACCUGGCCAGCCCUGCCACUUACCAGGUUGGCAUCUGGCAUCUUUCUUGACAUACGUAGCAGUUGCUUUUUGACAGCUUGCUUCUGGAGUGAAUGAAUAAAUUAAUAAAUUUAUUCAUUUGAUAUUCAGUGACAUGUGAUAUUCAGUGAUCCAUUUUGCAGAUUGAGCCUCGUAUUUCAUAUCUGCCCCUGGCCUAAUGUUUGCUUACAGAAUGAGCUCAAUGAAUAUUGUUAAAUAACACUAACAAAGUUGACCUUAGAAUUGGAGUGCCCGGGUUAGAACCUUGCUGGUACCACCUGCUUACUGCAUGCUUCUGAUGUGAGUUCAGGAGAAGCCACUGGCAAGGACAGCAAAGAACAGGAGAACACUCUAGCUUCCCUGAUAGCAUUCAAGGUGCUGUCCAAACUGACUGUGAUGGCACCCUCCAGACAGACAGCGAUGCCACAUGUUCAAGAUGGCAGAAUCACUAACAGCUUCAAUUCCUGAAUGACUGCAGAGCAAAAUUUCUUACCCGCAACAUACACUCUAUUUUCAGCCUCCCUGGACUGUUACAUAAUGAUACAUAAAAAUAUUUCUUGUGUUGAGGCAUCCCAAAUUUGAUCUAUUUGUCAUCACAGUUUAUCCUACGAAUAUAUUUCUGAUCCAAAUAAUGCUAGAUUCAUGAGAGUUUAUAGUCCAGAGAUUUUUUUUUUUUUUUUUUUUUGAGACAGAAUCUCACUGUCUGCCAGGCUGGGGUGCAGUGGCAUAAUCUUAGCUCACUGCAACCUCCGCCUCCUGGGCUCAAGUGAUCCUCCCUCCUUAGCCUCCAUGAAUAGCUGGGACCACAGGUGUGCACCACCCCACCCAGCUAAUUAUUUUGUAUUUUUUGCAGAGACGGGGUUUCACCACAUUGCCCAAGCUGGUCUCAAACUCCUAGACUUAAGGGAUCUUCCCGCCUUGGCCUCCCAAAAUGCUGAAAUUACAUGUGUUAGCCAUAGUAAUAGUUCCUAGCCAUAGUCCAGAGAUAUUUUAAAAACUUUAGUGUGAGUUAUUUCUCUUUGCUAUAAUUCUCUCAUGCAUUUUGAAAACCUUUUCUGCCAUACAGUGGUUUUUGGGAAGUCCUUUUGGACAGACAUAUCACAGGAUGGAGAAACUAAAAAGAGAGAGAAUGCAUUAAAGAAAAAAUAGUACUUCAUAUUUCAGAAAUUACAAAAGGUUGUCAUGCCCCACAGCAUGGUGGGCAGUCAUUUGUAACCCACAGAACAUUGAGUUUCUAAAAUUUGAGUGUUUUUUAACUUACGAAGGCCAACUUUACUGAUGAAGUGGUUACCCCAAAUAUGUGAAAUCCAUAUUUCAAGCACAAUAGCAGGAAAUCGGAAAUGGGUAGGUAUAUUUCUGACUGUCAAAGAGUACAAAGUAAAGAGGGGCCCCUGAAGAGUGACACUACUGGAAAA